UACAGAGGUGUCAAGCGUUGUCCGGAAUUACUGGGCGUAAAGGGCGUGUAGGUGGGUGGAUAAGUCGGAUGUGAAAUCACCGGGCUUAACCCGGUAACUGCAUCCGAAACUGUCCGUCUUGAGUGCAGAAGAGGAGAGUGGAAUUCCCAGUGUAGCGGUGAAAUGCGUAGAUAUUGGGAGGAACACCAGUGGCGAAGGCGGCUCUCUGGUCUGCAACUGACACUGAAACGCGAAAGCUAGGGGAGCAAACGGG
This 253-nucleotide ribosomal RNA is filed under the name uncultured bacterium. RNAcentral describes it as "partial 16S ribosomal RNA". It matches the Rfam family "Bacterial small subunit ribosomal RNA", at positions 524 to 776 of the family's 1533-position model. The record is from RNAcentral.